This 1002-nucleotide ribosomal RNA is filed under the name Streptomyces sp. LK4-16. RNAcentral's name for it is "partial 16S ribosomal RNA". It matches the Rfam family "Bacterial small subunit ribosomal RNA", at positions 1 to 1027 of the family's 1533-position model. The record is from RNAcentral. Lineage: Bacteria; Bacillati; Actinomycetota; Actinomycetes; Kitasatosporales; Streptomycetaceae.
UUUNNNNGNNAANNCUUGGGGNACCANGNCCACCUCUUUNUAUCAUGCAAGAAACAACGAUGAAGCCCUUCGGGGUGGAUUAGUGGCUUAACGGGUGAGUAACACGUGGGCAAUCUGCCCUUCACUCUGGGACAAGCCCUGGAAACGGGGUCUAAUACCGGAUACCACUCCUGCCUGCAUGGGCGGGGGUUGAAAGCUCCGGCGGUGAAGGAUGAGCCCGCGGCCUAUCAGCUUGUUGGUGGGGUAAUGGCCCACCAAGGCGACGACGGGUAGCCGGCCUGAGAGGGCGACCGGCCACACUGGGACUGAGACACGGCCCAGACUCCUACGGGAGGCAGCAGUGGGGAAUAUUGCACAAUGGGCGAAAGCCUGAUGCAGCGACGCCGCGUGAGGGAUGACGGCCUUCGGGUUGUAAACCUCUUUCAGCAGGGAAGAAGCGAAAGUGACGGUACCUGCAGAAGAAGCGCCGGCUAACUACGUGCCAGCAGCCGCGGUAAUACGUAGGGCGCAAGCGUUGUCCGGAAUUAUUGGGCGUAAAGAGCUCGUAGGCGGCUUGUCACGUCGGAUGUGAAAGCCCGAGGCUUAACCUCGGGUCUGCAUUCGAUACGGGCUAGCUAGAGUGUGGUAGGGGAGAUCGGAAUUCCUGGUGUAGCGGUGAAAUGCGCAGAUAUCAGGAGGAACACCGGUGGCGAAGGCGGAUCUCUGGGCCAUUACUGACGCUGAGGAGCGAAAGCGUGGGGAGCGAACAGGAUUAGAUACCCUGGUAGUCCACGCCGUAAACNNUUGGGAACUAGGUGUUGGCGACAUUNCACGUCGUCGGUGCCGCAGNUAACGCAUUAAGUUCCCCGCCUGGGGGNNNCCGGCCNCANGGCUNAAACUCAAAGGAAUUGACGGGGGNCCCCCCAAACNGGNGGAACAUGUGGNUUUAUUUGACGCCNNCCGAAAAACNUUACNAGGGUUNGANUUNNCCNGNAAGCNUUAAAAANNNGCCCCCCUUGGGGC